This 69-nucleotide transfer RNA is filed under the name Ratabulus megacephalus. Its description in RNAcentral is "tRNA-Met". It matches the Rfam family "tRNA". From Rfam's summary of the family: Transfer RNA (tRNA) molecules are approximately 80 nucleotides in length. Their secondary structure includes four short double-helical elements and three loops (D, anti-codon, and T loops). Lineage: Eukaryota; Metazoa; Chordata; Actinopteri; Perciformes; Platycephalidae. The record is from RNAcentral.
AGUAAAGUAAGCUAAACAAGCUUUUGGGCCCAUACCCCGAAUAUGUCGGUGAAAAUCCUUCCUUUACUA